This is a non-coding RNA of Gasterosteus aculeatus aculeatus (three-spined stickleback), 1092 nucleotides long. The record is from RefSeq and is a predicted model, not a curated record. NCBI's taxonomy places the organism in Eukaryota, Metazoa, Chordata, Actinopteri, Perciformes, Gasterosteidae.
UAAGCACAGGGAACAGCACCGUUGUGAGAGUUCCUUUGCUUCAGAGCCCUUCAGAUGCUCACACACUAUUUGCCUCCUACUGCAUCGGGGAGGGCUAAAGGAUGGGCCAAAUGCAGUGUGAAAUCGGCCCUUUCGUACAUCUUGGACAUAAAACCGACUGGAACAAGCAUACCAAGCCUUCUAGAGGGAUCUCCUGAGGAAGCAGUGGGAGUCCACCAGCCCAAGCUGGUGUGUUUAGGGCACCCCAGGACAGUUGCUCAGUACGUCGUCAUUGCAAAGAACGACAAUGUCGCCAUCCCCCUUCAAGACGAAGGUUUGACAUGUGCCAUUGACAAACUGUUCAAAGUUUUCUGGGUUUGCAACAUGGCAUAUCCUGCCCAACUCGAAUCAGUCUACAGUUUCUUUGAGUAUGUUUAUGACAUGCCCAUCUCAGGUGGGAAGAGAUCAAAAGUUGUGGAACUUAUUGCAAAGCUCCAGGCAGUAUUGUUGUAAGUUGUACCACCAUGUACAGUUGUCCCAAAUGCAAGAAAUCCAUUUCGAAACAAGUCAGGACACUUAUUAGACAUCUUAGGCAAGUUCAUGCAAUUUCAGAUGGACAGGAUUAUACAAUUGUAGUCAGAACCACUGUCAAAGAACUUACCAUAACUUUAAUUCUUAUGCCAGACAUAUAAACAGGGAACACACUCAGGUUGCAAACCCAGUAAAUUUGGAACAAAUGGUCAAUUUUGGUAAUGGGUCGGAAGAUGUUUCUAUGUCAUGCUCCAACGCAAUGAAAACUCCACAAACAGAUUCGGAAACUUCAAUGGAUUGUCAUGUUUCAGACCAUCGUGAGACUGCAGCUUCCUUUGUUGCCAAAAUGUACUGUGCAUCAAAUUCCACCCUAACCGAUGUGCAAAAAAGCAUUGCUUGCACUAAAGAGCUACUGGAAAAGACAUUGGACGAUUUAAAGGAUAAAACUGCAUCUGUAAUUGAUAGCUACUCUUUGUCAAAUCUUUAAUGCAGGAUUUUGAAAAUGCACGAAACAUGUUUUCCGAGGUGGAUACUCGGAAUAUAUGAAAAUAUAAUAAAUAAAUAUUUUUCUGAAAAACACUC